This 374-nucleotide ribosomal RNA is filed under the name uncultured bacterium. Its description in RNAcentral is "bacterial SSU rRNA". It matches the Rfam family "Bacterial small subunit ribosomal RNA", at positions 524 to 896 of the family's 1533-position model. The record is from RNAcentral.
UACGUAGGUGGCAAGCGUUAUCCGGAAUUAUUGGGCGUAAAGCGCGCGUAGGCGGUUUUUUAAGUCUGAUGUGAAAGCCCACGGCUCAACCGUGGAGGGUCAUUGGAAACUGGAAAACUUGAGUGCAGAAGAGGAAAGUGGAAUUCCAUGUGUAGCGGUGAAAUGCGCAGAGAUAUGGAGGAACACCAGUGGCGAAGGCGACUUUCUGGUCUGUAACUGACGCUGAUGUGCGAAAGCGUGGGGAUCAAACAGGAUUAGAUACCCUGGUAGUCCACGCCGUAAACGAUGAGUGCUAAGUGUUAGGGGGUUUCCGCCCCUUAGUGCUGCAGCUAACGCAUUAAGCACUCCGCCUGGGGAGUACGACCGCAAGGUUG